UAGGGAAUCUUCCACAAUGACGCAAGUCUGAUGGAGCAACGCCGCGUGAGUGAAGAAGGCUUUCGGGUCGUAAAACUCUGUUAUUGAAGAAGAACGUGUGUGACAGUAACUGGUCAUGCAGUGACGGUAUUCAAUCAGAAAGUCACGGCUAACUACGUGCCAGCAGCCGCGGUAAUACGUAGGUGGCAAGCGUUGUCCGGAUUUAUUGGGCGUAAAGCGAGUGCAGGCGGUCUUUUAAGUCUGAUGUGAAAGCCUUCGGCUUAACCGAAGAAGGGCAUC
This 279-nucleotide ribosomal RNA is filed under the name uncultured bacterium. Its description in RNAcentral is "partial 16S ribosomal RNA". It matches the Rfam family "Bacterial small subunit ribosomal RNA", at positions 355 to 627 of the family's 1533-position model. The record is from RNAcentral.